GCCAACGUAUGCAAACGGUUAUAAGCAAGCUGUCUUGAAAACAGAUGAGCCGAAAGGUCUGUGGGUUCGAAUCCUACCGUUGGCG
Molecule: transfer RNA, 85 nt
Organism: Lachnospiraceae bacterium A2
Lineage: Bacteria; Bacillati; Bacillota; Clostridia; Lachnospirales; Lachnospiraceae
Rfam family: tRNA
About the family: Transfer RNA (tRNA) molecules are approximately 80 nucleotides in length. Their secondary structure includes four short double-helical elements and three loops (D, anti-codon, and T loops).
Source: Rfam